ACUAAUGGGCCUCGUUUUGGGCCUACUCUUUUCAGUGAAAAAGCAAAAGGGCCUCUGUAGAAAUCCAUGUUUACUUCCCACUAGGAAUGUGAAUGGAGCUGGGUUUCCCCCCCGACUCUUCCUCCUUUUUUUUUCUUUUUUUUUCUUUUUUUUUGGUGUGGUAUAAGUCCAUGGAGUAUGCUGGGUUUUUGAGUUAUUAAGCGAAUGGUGUUGGUAAUAAACAAAGUGAGGAGGCAAAGAAAAGGUAUAUAGCUUCCAGUUGUUGUAAAUGAUUUACUGAAAUUGGAGAUGGCUACUUUUACUAAAUGACUGCACAUCUUCCCAUCCCCAGAUGGACUACGCUCUUCUGAAAAAUCGGAAGUAGUAAGAUCGCGCAGUAGCUGAAAACUGAAACUACCUUGCGCCGGCCCAUCGAGAGACACUACAAGGAUGAAGGCCCACUAGGAGAGGCCAAAAUAUGAGAAAGCCCCAUCAUAAUGAAGGCCCACUAAGGCUCAGGCUUUAUUUGGAAUUGCACGAAGAUCCCAUUAUGCGCAGUGAGAAAGUACAAUGGAAUAAUAUCUUAUUUUGUUUUCUGUACAUUGCAAUAAGUUUGUUAUGAUAUAUUUUCUGUAUUUUUAUUGAAAAAUGCAAAAGCAUAUCCUUAUUUUAUAU
Molecule: long non-coding RNA, 654 nt
Organism: Ananas comosus (pineapple)
Lineage: Eukaryota; Viridiplantae; Streptophyta; Magnoliopsida; Poales; Bromeliaceae
Exons: 4
Source: RefSeq, a predicted model, not a curated record